This 710-nucleotide ribosomal RNA is filed under the name uncultured Eubacteriales bacterium. Its description in RNAcentral is "bacterial SSU rRNA". It matches the Rfam family "Bacterial small subunit ribosomal RNA", at positions 28 to 744 of the family's 1533-position model. The record is from RNAcentral. Lineage: Bacteria; Bacillati; Bacillota; Clostridia; Eubacteriales.
GACGAACGCUGGCGGCGUGCUUAACACAUGCAAGUCGAACGGUAUCUACUGAGUAGCAAUAUGAGGUAGGUAUAGUGGCGGACGGGUGAGUAACGCGUGAGCAAUCUGCCUACAAGAGGGGGAUAACACCGGGAAACCGGUGCUAAUACCGCAUAAGACCACGACCUCGCAUGGGGAUGUGGUAAAAGGAGCAAUCCGCUUGUAGAUGGGCUCGCGUCCCAUUAGCUAGUUGGUGAGGUAACGGCUCACCAAGGCUGCGAUGGGUAGCCGACCUGAGAGGGUGAUCGGCCACACUGGAACUGAGACACGGUCCAGACUCCUACGGGAGGCAGCAGUGGGGAAUAUUGGGCAAUGGGCGAAAGCCUGACCCAGCAACGCCGCGUGAGGGAAGAAGGUUUUCGGAUUGUAAACCUCUGUCCUUGGGGACGAAAAAAAUGACGGUACCCAAGGAGGAAGCCCCGGCUAACUACGUGCCAGCAGCCGCGGUAAUACGUAGGGGGCGAGCGUUGUCCGGAAUUACUGGGCGUAAAGGGUGCGUAGGCGGUUGCCUAAGUCAGAUGUGAAAUCCCCGGGCUUAACUCGGGUGGUGCAUUUGAAACUGGGUAACUAGAGUGCAGGAGAGGGAAGCGGAAUUCCUAGUGUAGCGGUGAAAUGCGUAGAUAUUAGGAGGAACACCAGUGGCGAAGGCGGCCAUCUGGCGCUGAACUGAC